RNAcentral lists this ribosomal RNA (486 nucleotides) under uncultured bacterium. RNAcentral's name for it is "partial 16S ribosomal RNA". It matches the Rfam family "Bacterial small subunit ribosomal RNA", at positions 30 to 507 of the family's 1533-position model. The record is from RNAcentral.
AUUGAACGCUGGCGGCAUGCCUUACACAUGCAAGUCGAACGGCAGCACGGGUGCUUGCACCUGGUGGCGAGUGGCGAACGGGUGAGUAAUACAUCGGAACAUGUCCUGUAGUGGGGGAUAGCCCGGCGAAAGCCGGAUUAAUACCGCAUACGAUCUACGGAUGAAAGCGGGGGACCUUCGGGCCUCGCGCUAUAGGGUUGGCCGAUGGCUGAUUAGCUAGUUGGUGGGGUAAAGGCCUACCAAGGCGACGAUCAGUAGCUGGUCUGAGAGGACGACCAGCCACACAGGGACUGAGACACGGCCCAGACUCCUACGGGAGGCAGCAGUGGGGAAUUUUGGACAAUGGGCGAAAGCCUGAUCCAGCAAUGCCGCGUGUGUGAAGAAGGCCUUCGGGUUGUAAAGCACUUUUGUCCGGAAAGAAAUCCUUGGCUCUAAUACAGUCGGGGGAUGACGGUACCGGAAGAAUAAGCACCGGCUAACUACGUG